RNAcentral lists this ribosomal RNA (205 nucleotides) under uncultured bacterium. Its description in RNAcentral is "partial 16S ribosomal RNA". It matches the Rfam family "Bacterial small subunit ribosomal RNA", at positions 132 to 334 of the family's 1533-position model. The record is from RNAcentral.
AUGGGUUUGGAAUAACUCGUCGAAAGAUGGGCUAAUACCAAAUAAUGCAGCGGCACCGCAUGGUGAUGUUGUUAAAGCCUAUAUGGCGCCUAUGGAUGAGCUUGCAUCAGAUUAGCUAGUUGGUAGAGUAAAAGCCUACCAAGGCUACGAUCUGUAGCUGGUCUGAGAGGAUGAUCAGCCACACUGGAACUGAGACACGGUCCAG